This 253-nucleotide ribosomal RNA is filed under the name uncultured bacterium. RNAcentral's name for it is "partial 16S ribosomal RNA". It matches the Rfam family "Bacterial small subunit ribosomal RNA", at positions 524 to 776 of the family's 1533-position model. The record is from RNAcentral.
UACGUAGGGUGCGAGCGUUAAUCGGAAUUACUGGGCGUAAAGCGUGCGCAGGCGGGCUUUUAAGCCAGACGUGAAAUCCCCGGGCUUAACCUGGGAAUGGCGUUUGGGACUGGAAGUCUGGAGUGCGGCAGAGGAGACUGGAAUUCCGGGUGUAGCGGUGAAAUGCGUAGAUAUCCGGAGGAACACCGGUGGCGAAGGCGGCUUCCUGGACCGACACUGACGCUGAGGCGCGAAAGCUAGGGGAGCAAACAGG